AAAUUGAAGAGUUUGAUCAUGGCUCAGAUUGAACGCUGGCGGCAGGCCUAACACAUGCAAGUCGAACGGUAACAGGAAGCAGCUUGCUGCUUUGCUGACGAGUGGCGGACGGGUGAGUAAUGUCUGGGAAACUGCCUGAUGGAGGGGGAUAACUACUGGAAACGGUGGCUAAUACCGCAUAACGUCGCAAGACCAAAGAGGGGGACCUUCGGGCCUCUUGCCAUCAGAUGUGCCCAGAUGGGAUUAGCUAGUUGGUGAGGUAACGGCUCACCAAGGCGACGAUCCCUAGCUGGUCUGAGAGGAUGACCAGCCACACUGGAACUGAGACACGGUCCAGACUCCUACGGGAGGCAGCAGUGGGGAAUAUUGCACAAUGGGCGCAAGCCUGAUGCAGCCAUGCCGCGUGUAUGAAGAAGGCCUUCGGGUUGUAAAGUACUUUCAGCGGGGAGGAAGGUGUUGUGGUUAAUAACCGCAGCAAUUGACGUUACCCGCAGAAGAAGCA
RNAcentral lists this ribosomal RNA (502 nucleotides) under Salmonella enterica. RNAcentral describes it as "bacterial SSU rRNA". It matches the Rfam family "Bacterial small subunit ribosomal RNA", at positions 1 to 492 of the family's 1533-position model. The record is from RNAcentral. Lineage: Bacteria; Pseudomonadati; Pseudomonadota; Gammaproteobacteria; Enterobacterales; Enterobacteriaceae. RNAcentral also lists the same sequence under 1 other name.